UACAUGGGGUGCAAACGUUGCUCGGAAUUAUUGGGCGUAAAGCGCGCGUAGGCGGUUACUUAAGUCGGAUGUGAAAGCCCUCGGCUUAACUGAGGAAGUGCACCCGAAACUGAGUAGCUAGAGUACUAAAGAGGGUCGCGGAAUUCCCGGUGUAGAGGUGAAAUUCGUAGAUAUCGGGAGGAACACCGGUGGCGAAGGCGGCGACCUGGGUAGAGACUGACGCUGAGGCGCGAAAGCGUGGGGAGCAAACAGG
This 253-nucleotide ribosomal RNA is filed under the name uncultured bacterium. RNAcentral describes it as "partial 16S ribosomal RNA". It matches the Rfam family "Bacterial small subunit ribosomal RNA", at positions 524 to 776 of the family's 1533-position model. The record is from RNAcentral.